GCCGAGAUAGCUCAGACGGUAAAGCGCGAGCGUCGCAGAUUCGAUUUCUGCUCUCGGCACCA
RNAcentral lists this transfer RNA (62 nucleotides) under Variovorax beijingensis. RNAcentral's name for it is "Variovorax sp. 502 tRNA-OTHER". It matches the Rfam family "tRNA". Rfam says of the family: Transfer RNA (tRNA) molecules are approximately 80 nucleotides in length. Lineage: Bacteria; Pseudomonadati; Pseudomonadota; Betaproteobacteria; Burkholderiales; Comamonadaceae. The record is from RNAcentral.